RNAcentral lists this ribosomal RNA (243 nucleotides) under uncultured bacterium. Its description in RNAcentral is "partial 16S ribosomal RNA". It matches the Rfam family "Bacterial small subunit ribosomal RNA", at positions 28 to 222 of the family's 1533-position model. The record is from RNAcentral.
GAUGAACGCUGGCGGCGUGCUUAACACAUGCAAGUCGAACGGGAAUUACUUUAUUGAAACUUCGGUCGAUUUAAUUUAAUUCUAGUGGCGGACGGGUGAGUAACGCGUGGGUAACCUGCCUUAUACAGGGGGAUAACAGUCAGAAAUGACUGCUAAUACCGCAUAAAGCGAUACGGAACCGGUCGACUAGGUUCGUUCGUUUAGUGGAAAAACCCUAACCGGGUAGGUUUAAUUAACGGACUU